This is a small nuclear RNA of Notolabrus celidotus (New Zealand spotty), 196 nucleotides long. RefSeq annotates it as U2 spliceosomal RNA. NCBI's taxonomy places the organism in Eukaryota, Metazoa, Chordata, Actinopteri, Labriformes, Labridae. The transcript has a single exon. The record is from RefSeq and is a predicted model, not a curated record.
AUUUUUUUUCAAAAGAAAGAAAGAAAAAUCUGUUCUUAUCAGUUUAACAUCUGAAAUGUCCCCUAUAAGGGUACAUAUCAGAUGUUAAACUGAUCAUUAACCAAAUUUUACAGACAGGGAGCUGAAGAAGGCGCUUGCUCCAUUCACUCCACCCAUCGACCCGGUACUGCAGUGCCUCAUAUGUGAUAUGCAUGUA